This 380-nucleotide ribosomal RNA is filed under the name uncultured eukaryote. Its description in RNAcentral is "partial 18S ribosomal RNA". It matches the Rfam family "Eukaryotic small subunit ribosomal RNA", at positions 592 to 976 of the family's 1831-position model. The record is from RNAcentral.
CAAUAGCGUAUAUUAAAGUUGUUGCGGUUAAAAAGCUCGUAGUUGGAUUUCUGCUGAGAACGACCGGUCCGCCCUCUGGGUGUGUAUCUGGCUCUUUCUUGGCAUCUUCUUGGUGAACGUUGCUGCACUUGACUGUGUGGAGCGCUACCCAGGACUUUUACUUUGAGGAAAUUAGAGUGUUUCAAGCAGGCAUACGCCUUGAAUACAUUAGCAUGGAAUAAUAAGAUAGGACCUCGGUUCUAUUUUGUUGGUUUCUAGAGCUGAGGUAAUGAUUAAUAGGGAUAGUUGGGGGCAUUCGUAUUUAACUGUCAGAGGUGAAAUUCUUGGAUUUGUUAAAGACGGACAACUGCGAAAGCGUUUGCCCAGGAUGUUUUCAUUGA